RNAcentral lists this long non-coding RNA (5525 nucleotides) under Lynx pardinus (Iberian lynx). The record is from RNAcentral. Lineage: Eukaryota; Metazoa; Chordata; Mammalia; Carnivora; Felidae.
GCCGGAAUCGGGACUGCACUGCGAUUGGAGGGUUCUGGGCCGGCGCGAGGGCCUGAGUGAAGUUGGUGCCAGUCUGUGUGCCCCGGUCUUGGUAGGCUUCCGGAUCCGUUCUAGGGUGAUAUCUGGGUCCUGUCUCCGGAUUCCCAGGCGUCCUCGGUGUCCUGCAGGCGUCGCGUGUAAGAAUCCCCUGGUCAUUGUCCUUCUGCCCACCCCAACCUGUGAACAUGCUUGUCCGCUUUUCCCUCGCUGUCCUCUUCUAAGCCCUCCGUCCUCUGCUGCCUCCCAGUCGUCUCAAGGUUCAGGAAGGGACCCUGCCGCCCCGGGCUUAUCCGUCCUCAGUGAUGAGGUUUUUCGGGUGAUGGUAGGGGGGUUCAUUGGGUCCGGAGCCCAAUGACCAAGAAAGAAUUUUCGAAGACGCUUUUAGUGCAAAUAGAUGAUUUUAUUAAUUCACGGGGACAGGACGGGACCGUGAGGAAAGACAGAUUAUAUAUUAGGGAGUUGGAAGAGGUAAAGUCCAGGGGAAGGUUCCAAUGAGAUUUUCAUAUACUGAAGAAGAUCACAGGAUUUGGGAGGCCUAGCUAUUGUCAAGCUAAGGUUGUUUUUCCCUCUAGCAAAGCAUUAGCAUUAAGACAGUAGGGAGUUGCUGGAGAAAUGUUUGGCUAUGCCAGCCUCAAGUAAUUGUCAACAGGCUGCAGGUUAUGAGGAAAUUUAAUCCUAUGCCCCAUUUCCUGCCUUUGUUUCCCAUAUCUCUCAUGGAUGUCCUCCUACCCAAUGCCCUGGGCAUCAGGAAACCCUGCUCCACUCCCUAGGGUUGCUGUGGAGCAUUCCUCUCUCUCAUCACCCCAGACACAAUGCCCUUGUUCUCCCCUUCCCUCUAAUGCCUCUACAUCUGCAACAUUCAGCCCUUUGGGGGCCUCCAUCCAGGGGCCCCAAACUCCCUUUGUUCUAUCAGGACCCUCCUUCCCCAGUUUACCCGGGACUAUAAAUUCUCCCCCACAACGCUGGUCUUUUUCUCCUUCUUUCCUCCUCCCUCCUUUCUUGGUACACCCAAAUAAGGAACAAGCUUUGGGCGCCUGGGUGUCUCAGUAGGUGGAGCGUCCUACUCUUGAUUUCUCUCAGGUCUUGGUGCCAUAGUCCUAAGAUUGAACUCCACCUCUGCGUGUCAGCAUAGAGCCUGCAAGGAUUCUGUCCCUCUUUCUGCCCCUCCUUUGUUCACCCACUUGUGCUCUCUCGCUCUUUCAAAAACAAACAAACAAAAAAACUAACUCUGCACGUUCCACAACUGUAUCUUCUGUACCUGCACUAGCUUUCCAGAACUCCAGCACCCAUGCUCCUCAAGAUGUUCAUUGGUAAUACAUUAAGAGAAAAAAAGAGAGAGCAGCUAUCAAACAGGAACUCUCACCACUUCUAGCAACAUGGGAUCUGCACCUGUAUCUCUUCUGCCUCUGUGGAAUAAGGGACCUGAUCUCACUUGAGGCCAGGCCCAUCACCUGGAUCCUGUGCCCAUCUUCUGGAGGAAAGGUAAGCCUUUGCAAUGAUCCCCAAUUGUCACCUGUCCAUUUGUAUCUCGAUCACCUGUUAUCUGCGAGCAUCCUCCUAUUUAUCAACCCUAUUAUACGAUGAACUAAAGCAUAAAGCCAUCCCUGAUCCCAUAUUUUCCUGAGACACAGCCUGCCACAUUUCCCUUGCUGCAAACAGCAAGUCCCCCUUAUUCUGUAACCAUUUUCCUUGUUACCCACCUCAAUCCUAUUUUGUCAGCUUGCCUCCCAAAAGAAAAUAUUGGUCAAGGCCAGUGAUCUUCAUAUCGCUAAGCUCUAUAAUAAUGUCCUCUCCUGAAAUACCUGUAUCUCUCACAUACCUUUGGUACAUGUCAUAAUUGCCUCGGUUUUUAUCUAUCCCUCCCUCCCUUUCUUCAAUUUUUUAUUUUUGUGUAUUUGACAAUUUACUAUCUGGGCAUUGCUUCUCCAAACCCAUUGGCCACUGUGCUCCUUGUCAGUGUUUAUUGCUCACUCCCUAUUCCACAGGGCUUUUAACAGGGCCCUUCCCAUCUACACUCUCUCUGUGGGUUGUUUCAUCCUUGGUGCCAGCACAGAGCAUGGACACAAUGGGACCUCCCACGUUCGUACCUCAUGCAUCAACCUGUCCCCUGAGAUCCACAUUUGUCUGUGUCUUUGCUGGAUGACCAGAAGGGAGCAGACACUUAACAUGUCCCAAGCACGCCUCUUCAUGUGACAUGUUCCUUUGGUCUCCACUGCAACCCAGCACCACGUCCUCUGGAUUCGAUCUUCUGAAAACAUCCUGUAUCCAUCCCGUUCUGUGCUCAUCUGCUGCUACUGUUUUCGUAUCCAACUAAUCUGCUCAUCUCUUGUCUUCACGGCAGUACCUCUGGCCUACUCCUGUUCCUCGCACAUGCUUCUUCCCUCCUUAGGACACUGGUGAUCACAGUUGUCUCUGCCUGGAAGAGUCUCUCCCUGGAUCCUUACACGGUGGGUUCCUUCUAACCUUCUGGUUUCUGCUCCAUUAUUGCCUCCUCAGAGAGGCUCUCCGUGACCACCUUGUGUAAAGUAGGUUGUUCCUGGCCUAGGACCUGGGUUAUUUCCUUCCUAACACUUAGCUCACUAACUUCUUUGUUCAUUGGUUGGUUGGUUGGUAUUCUCUUACUCCCCAGAUAAGUGCUGCGUGACCAGCUUGUACAAGAGCACCACACACCUAUUAAGAGAGGCUCUCAUUAAUGUUAUGGAAUGCCGAAUAAAAGGUCACGUGACACCUGUUGUUGCUUUGUUGUGGGUUACUGAGGGGUAGGUAUCACUGGGGUGGGGGAGGGUUCCUGGAUAAUCUCCCUUUAAACCCACAGGAACACGUGUGUGCCCCCAUGGUAGCUCCUGCAGGUUUUGAGGUGUUUGUGUUAAAGACAAGGUAUACCUUCCUUUAAAGUGGCUAAAUUAGUUCACUGCUAGGUAAAAUGACACGUGCAUGAUAAAUGAGAGGGAGAACGAGAAGAUGUUAGCUCAUGGUAAGGUCACGUAGGGUGGGCAGCAGUGCUGUCUGGACUUCAUCUAGUAAGUUCUCUGGCUGCAUGGCAACAGAAAUGUUCCUUAGUCUCUGUGUGACUUGGUUUCUCCAUCUGCACUAAGGGCAGUGAAGGCAUGUGCCCAUACUGUGACUGAGACUGUCUAUUCUCAGAACAGGGCUGGCACCGGGAGCUCUCAAAAGGAGUUUGAUGCAUCAUUGCUGUGCGUGUGUGAGCGCGACUGCCUGUGGGAGAAUCAGGAGCCUGAGAAGAGCUGCUGGAGGCCGGAAUGCUCCCACCUGUCUUGUCUUGAUGGAACNUUUUUUUUUUUUUUUGCUAACUUCUCCAGUCCAGCUUCUAUCAGCCUGCCCCCCAAAUGAAAACAGCUGUCAAGGGCACCAGUGAAUCCCUUUGAUGAUGUCCUCUCCUCAACCUACUGUACCUCUCAGAUAGCUCUGGUACACUUAACAAUUGCCUGGUUCUUGAAAAUGUCCCUCCCUCCCUUUCUUCUAAUUUGUAUUUUGGCCUAUUUGAAAAUUUACUCUUUGGGUGAUGUUCUCCCAACCCCAGUGGCCACUGUGCUCCUUGUCAGUGUUUAUUGCUCACUCCCUAUUCCACAGGGCUUUUAACAGGGCCCUUCCCAUCUACACUCUCUCUGUGGGUUGUUUCAUCCUUGGUGCCAGCACAGAGCAUGGACACAAUGGGACCUCCCACGUUCGUACCUCAUGCAUCAACCUGUCCCCUGAGAUCCACAUUUGUCUGUGUCUUUGCUGGAUGACCAGAAGGGAGCAGACACUUAACAUGUCCCAAGCACGCCUCUUCAUGUGACAUGUUCCUUUGGUCUCCACUGCAACCCAGCACCACGUCCUCUGGAUUCGAUCUUCUGAAAACAUCCUGUAUCCAUCCCGUUCUGUGCUCAUCUGCUGCUACUGUUUUCGUAUCCAACUAAUCUGCUCAUCUCUUGUCUUCACGGCAGUACCUCUGGCCUACUCCUGUUCCUCGCACAUGCUUCUUCCCUCCUUAGGACACUGGUGAUCACAGUUGUCUCUGCCUGGAAGAGUCUCUCCCUGGAUCCUUACACGGUGGGUUCCUUCUAACCUUCUGGUUUCUGCUCCAUUAUUGCCUCCUCAGAGAGGCUCUCCGUGACCACCUUGUGUAAAGUAGGUUGUUCCUGGCCUAGGACCUGGGUUAUUUCCUUCCUAACACUUAGCUCACUAACUUCUUUGUUCAUUGGUUGGUUGGUUGGUAUUCUCUUACUCCCCAGAUAAGUGCUGCGUGACCAGCUUGUACAAGAGCACCACACACCUAUUAAGAGAGGCUCUCAUUAAUGUUAUGGAAUGCCGAAUAAAAGGUCACGUGACACCUGUUGUUGCUUUGUUGUGGGUUACUGAGGGGUAGGUAUCACUGGGGUGGGGGAGGGUUCCUGGAUAAUCUCCCUUUAAACCCACAGGAACACGUGUGUGCCCCCAUGGUAGCUCCUGCAGGUUUUGAGGUGUUUGUGUUAAAGACAAGGUAUACCUUCCUUUAAAGUGGCUAAAUUAGUUCACUGCUAGGUAAAAUGACACGUGCAUGAUAAAUGAGAGGGAGAACGAGAAGAUGUUAGCUCAUGGUAAGGUCACGUAGGGUGGGCAGCAGUGCUGUCUGGACUUCAUCUAGUAAGUUCUCUGGCUGCAUGGCAACAGAAAUGUUCCUUAGUCUCUGUGUGACUUGGUUUCUCCAUCUGCACUAAGGGCAGUGAAGGCAUGUGCCCAUACUGUGACUGAGACUGUCUAUUCUCAGAACAGGGCUGGCACCGGGAGCUCUCAAAAGGAGUUUGAUGCAUCAUUGCUGUGCGUGUGUGAGCGCGACUGCCUGUGGGAGAAUCAGGAGCCUGAGAAGAGCUGCUGGAGGCCGGAAUGCUCCCACCUGUCUUGUCUUGAUGGAACCCACAGCCAUGAACUAGCUAGGGAGAAACUGCCCUGGUUAGGACUGAGUCAGGAACCUGUACUGUAACUUCAGCAGGAAGGCUCCUGAAGGCAUUGUGCCCAGAAUGGGAAGUUCUCAAGGAAACAUUUUCAUUUCAGGGAUUUUAUGAUGAGGACUGGUGUGGUUUCAUUCUGUUUUCCAGCCAUGUAGACUGUGCUCCCCCCGUAAUGAUAGAAGGUAUUUCCUUUGAAAGAUUAAAUAUUGAGCCAAUCGCAGGGCUGAUCUCUUCAUUGGUUGUGUGGUAAAUAUGAGACUAGACAAAAGGUUGCCUAUCCCAAGACAUUCCUGCACUAGUCAGAGAGAAACAGGCAACUCAGCUUGCCCCCGAACUCCUGGAAGACAUCACAAGCUUUGAGUAAGUUCAUCUCUGCUUCCCGAGUAUCCUUCACAGUUACCAGGCGCUGGUGGGUGCAGAGGACUUGGGAGAGGAGCUCUCUGGGCUCCGACAUUACAAUUGCUGACAAACAUCUCCUAGGAACCUUAAAACAUGUUGUCUGUGGCACUUGUUGGGUAGAACACUGGGCGUUUUAGGAAACCAGUUUGACAAUAA